This 554-nucleotide ribosomal RNA is filed under the name uncultured organism. RNAcentral's name for it is "bacterial SSU rRNA". It matches the Rfam family "Bacterial small subunit ribosomal RNA", at positions 199 to 769 of the family's 1533-position model. The record is from RNAcentral.
CGGUAAAGCUUUUGCGGUUUGGGAUGGGCCUGCGUCCUAUCAGGUAGUUGGUGAGGUAAGUGCUCACCAAGCCUAUGACGGGUAGCUGGUCUGAGAGGAUGGUCAGCCAGACUGGGACUGCGACACGGCCCAGACUCCUACGGGAGGCAGGCGACUAGGAAUUGUGCGCAAUGGACGAAAGUCUGACGCCGCGACAUCGCGUGGAGGAUGAAGGUCUUCGGAUUGUAAACUCCUUUUCUUACCGAACAAGUUCUGAGUGUAGGUAAGGAAUAAGUGCCUGCUGACCACGUGCCAGAAGCAUCGGUAAUACGUGGGGCACGAGCGUUAUCCGGAUUUACUGGGCGUAAAGAGAAGCGUAGGCGGCUCGAUAAGUUUGGUGUUAAAUCUUCCGGCUCAACCGGAAACAAGCACCGAAAACUAUCGAGAUUGAGUCGAGUAGGGAAGAGGGGAAUUCCUGGUGGAGCGGUUAAAUGCGUAGAUAUCAGGAGGAAUACCAAGGGCGAAGGCACCUCUUUGGACUCGUACUGACGCUGAGGCUCGAAAGCGUGGGUAGC